GCUGCUAUAGCUCAGAAGGUAGAGCGCAUCCUUGGUAAGGAUGAGGUCACCAGUUCGACUCUGGUUAGCAGCUCCA
Molecule: transfer RNA, 76 nt
Filed under: Oscillospiraceae bacterium
Lineage: Bacteria; Bacillati; Bacillota; Clostridia; Eubacteriales; Oscillospiraceae
Also listed under: 1 other name
Description: tRNA-Thr
Rfam family: tRNA
About the family: Transfer RNA (tRNA) molecules are approximately 80 nucleotides in length. Their secondary structure includes four short double-helical elements and three loops (D, anti-codon, and T loops).
Source: RNAcentral